UACGAAGGGGGCUAGCGUUGUUCGGAAUUACUGGGCGUAAAGCGCACGUAGGCGGUGUUCCAUGUCAGAGGUGAAAGCCUGGGGCUCAACUCCAGAAUUGCCUUUGAAACGGGAACGCUUGAGUCCGAGAGAGGAUGGCGGAAUUCCUAGUGUAGAGGUGAAAUUCGUAGAUAUUAGGAAGAACACCAGUGGCGAAGGCGGCCAUCUGGCUCGGUACUGACGCUCAGGUUCGAAAGCGUGGGGAGCAAACAGG
RNAcentral lists this ribosomal RNA (253 nucleotides) under uncultured bacterium. RNAcentral's name for it is "partial 16S ribosomal RNA". It matches the Rfam family "Bacterial small subunit ribosomal RNA", at positions 524 to 776 of the family's 1533-position model. The record is from RNAcentral.